CCGAGACAGACCGAGACCCAGAGACACAGAGACAGACUGACAGAGAGACACAGAGACACAGAGACACAGAGACCCAGAGACACAGAGACAGACUGACAGAGAGACAGACCGAGACCCAGAGACACAGAGACAGACUGAGAGAGAGAGAUUCCAGUUUUGAUGGCUGAUACAGUCCACUGCCCAAAGCUCAGAGAUUAAGAUUUAAAUAGAGGUGGGUGGCGAGGAGUGGUGUGUGUAUGUAGAUGCCUGGGAGGUGGAAUGAAAGGUGAGUGGGAGAGGUGAGGAGUGGACUGGUCUGGAAGACAAACUGCCUGAACCAGGUCUCGACAUGGAGAGGUGAGGAGUAGACUGGUCUGAAAGACAAACUGCCUGAACCAAGUCACACCAUGGAGGGGCGACAGGCAGUUCCCAGUCUGAACCAAGUCACAACUUGGAGGGGUGACAGAUAGUUCCCAGUCUGAACCAAAUCACAACAUGGAGGGGUGACAGGUAGUUCCCAGUCUGAACCAAGUCACAACAUGGAGGGGUGACAGACAGUUCCCAGUCUGAACACAACAUGGAGGGGUGACAGACAGUUCCCAGUCUGAACACAACAUGGAGGGGUGACAGGUAGUUCCCAGUCUGAACCAAGUCACAACAUGGA
Oncorhynchus tshawytscha (Chinook salmon) is the source of this 643-nucleotide long non-coding RNA. The record is from Ensembl. Lineage: Eukaryota; Metazoa; Chordata; Actinopteri; Salmoniformes; Salmonidae.